Molecule: ribosomal RNA, 484 nt
Filed under: bacterium WS13_484
Lineage: Bacteria
Description: bacterial SSU rRNA
Rfam family: Bacterial small subunit ribosomal RNA
Source: RNAcentral
UUAGAGUUUGAUCCUGGCUCAGGACGAACGCUGCGGCGUGCUUAACACAUGCAAGUCGAACGAUGAUGCCAGCUUGCUGGUGGAUUAGUGGCGAACGGGUGAGUAACACGUGAGCAACCUGCCCCUGACUUCGGGAUAACCGCGGGAAACCGUGGCUAAUACCGGAUAUGACGCGCUAUCGCAUGGUGGUGUGUGGAAAGAUUUAUCGGUUGGGGAUGGGCUCGCGGCCUAUCAGCUUGUUGGUGGGGUGAUGGCCUACCAAGGCGACGACGGGUAGCCGGCCUGAGAGGGUGACCGGCCACACUGGGACUGAGACACGGCCCAGACUCCUACGGGAGGCAGCAGUGGGGAAUAUUGCACAAUGGGCGCAAGCCUGAUGCAGCGACGCCGCGUGAGGGAUGACGGCCUUCGGGUUGUAAACCUCUUUCAGUAGGGAAGAAGGCCUUCGGGUUGACGGUACCUGCAGAAGAAGCGCCGGCUAACU